AACGCGCUUGGGGGGUCACUUUUGAGGUCAAGAAAGCUUUGUUCUUUUGCUCUUUGCAACAAAACUUGUUGCUGCUCGCUCUUUUGGGUUCUCACUGCGUUUAUGAGCUGCAGCACUUACCACAAAGGUCUGUAGCUUCACUCCUGAAGCCUGCGAGACCACGAAUCCACCGGGAGGAACGAAUAACUCCAGAUGUGGUGCCUUAAGAGCUAUAGCACUCACUGUGAAGGUCUGCAGCUUUGCUCUUGAGCUAGCUAGACCACGAACCCACCAGAAGGAAAAAACUCCGAACACAUCUGAGCAUCAGAAGGAACAAACUCUGGACACGCUGCCUUUAAGAACUGUGAUAUUCACUGCGACGGUCCGCGGCUUCAUUCUUGAAGUCAGACCAAGAACCCACCAAUUCUGGAUAUAGGUAAUGCUAGCAGGGACUGUCUGGAUUUACGGCUCGGAGUUGGUUAGUUGUUCAGGGUGGUUCAAAGGUUUUGGCAGAGUUCAAAGACUGGGAAGCAAAGUUCAGCCAUGUUGGGCCUUUGGGCUCAUAGAUGAGCAAGGGUACCCCAA
RNAcentral lists this long non-coding RNA (564 nucleotides) under Pan troglodytes (chimpanzee). RNAcentral's name for it is "lincRNA". The record is from RNAcentral. Lineage: Eukaryota; Metazoa; Chordata; Mammalia; Primates; Hominidae.